CCUACGGGUGGCAGCAGUGGGGAAUAUUGCACAAUGGGGGAAACCCUGAUGCAGCGACGUCGCGUGAGUGAUGAAGUAUUUCGGUAUGUAAAGCUCUAUCAGCAGGGAAGAAAAUGACGGUACCUGACUAAGAAGCCCCGGCUAACUACGUGCCAGCAGCCGCGGUCAUACGUAGGGGGCAAGCGUUCUCCGGAUUUACUGGGUGUAAAGGUAGCGUAGACGGCGGUGCAAGCCAGAUGUGAAAGCCCGGUGCUCAACCCCGGGACUGCAUUUGGAACUGUGCUGCUAGAGUGUCGGAGAGGCAGGCGGAAGUCCUAGUGUAGCGGUGAAAUGCGUAGAGAUUAGGAGGAACACCAGUGGCGAAGGCGGCCUGCUGGACGAUGACUGACGUUGAGGCUCGAAAGCGUGGGGAGCAAACAGGAUUAGAUACCCGGGUAGUC
Molecule: ribosomal RNA, 440 nt
Filed under: uncultured bacterium
Lineage: Bacteria
Description: partial 16S ribosomal RNA
Rfam family: Bacterial small subunit ribosomal RNA
Source: RNAcentral